This 642-nucleotide unclassified non-coding RNA is filed under the name Hypericum sampsonii. RNAcentral's name for it is "sequence contains ITS1, 5.8S rRNA gene, ITS2". The stretch from base 254 to 409 matches the Rfam family "5.8S ribosomal RNA". Lineage: Eukaryota; Viridiplantae; Streptophyta; Magnoliopsida; Malpighiales; Hypericaceae. The record is from RNAcentral.
UCGAAACCUCCAAGCGACCCGCGAACUCAGUUAUCCACGGGUAGGGGGCGUCGGGCUCGUCCCCGUCGCCCCCGCGCGCCGGUGGCGGCCAGGCGAGCCAUCUCCUGGCACGGCUGGCCCGCCGCCGGCCCAACAAACCAACCCCGGCGCGGCACGCGCCAAGGAACUUUGCAUCAUGAGAAGGAUCACGCCCCGUCCGUGCCGGAAAUCGGAUAACACGUUCGGCGGCUGUCCUCCUGUUCGUAACAAAAACGACUCUCGGCAACGGAUAUCUYGGCUCUUGCAUCGAUGAAGAACGUAGCGAAAUGCGAUACUUGGUGUGAAUUGCAGAAUCCCGUGAACCAUCGAGUCUUUGAACGCAAGUUGCGCCCGAAGCCUUCUGGCCGAGGGCACGUCUGCCUGGGUGUCACACAUCGUCGCCCCCAAUCCCAGCACCCCAGCAGGGGCGCCAGGGAAGAGGACGGGCGGAUAUUGGUCUCCCGUGCGCACCCGCUCGCGGUUGGCCCAAAGAUCAGUUCCCGGCGAUCGCAAGCCACGACCAGCGGUGGUUGUAGGACCCUCGGUUUUAGGUCGCGAGCAAGCGUCGCAUGCGGGGACAGUACUGACCCUGAACGUGCUCGAAGAACUUCGUGCGCUCCCAGA